This 60-nucleotide transfer RNA is filed under the name Fulicoffula longipila. RNAcentral's name for it is "tRNA-Glu". Lineage: Eukaryota; Metazoa; Arthropoda; Insecta; Psocodea; Philopteridae. The record is from RNAcentral.
UUUUACUAACCUAAAGUAUUUUUCUAUAGAAAAUAGAACGUUUUUUUAAACUAUAGUAAA